This 441-nucleotide ribosomal RNA is filed under the name uncultured bacterium. RNAcentral's name for it is "partial 16S ribosomal RNA". It matches the Rfam family "Bacterial small subunit ribosomal RNA", at positions 338 to 795 of the family's 1533-position model. The record is from RNAcentral.
CCUACGGGAGGCAGCAGUGGGGGAUAUUGCACAAUGGGGGGAACCCUGAUGCAGCGACGCCGCGUGGGUGAAGGAGUGCUUCGGCAUGUAAAGCCCUAUCGGCAGGGAAGAAGCAAGACGGUACCUGACUAAGAAGCCCCGGCUAACUACGUGCCAGCAGCCGCGGUAAUACGUAGGGGGCGAGCGUUAUCCGGAUUCACUGGGUGUAAAGGGAGCGUAGACGGCCAUGCAAGCCAGGGGUGAAAGCCCGGGGCCCAACCCCGGGACUGCCCUUGGAACUGUGCGGCUAGAGUGCGGGAGGGGCAGGCGGAAUUCCUGGUGUAGCGGUGAAAUGCGUAGAUAUCAGGAGGAACACCGGCGGCGAAGGCGGCCUGCUGGACUGCGACUGACGUUCAGGCUCGAAAGCGUGGGGAGCGAACAGGAUUAGAUACCCCGGUAGUC